CUACCUGGUUUCCAGGUCGAGUUGUAAUUUGAAGAUACGUUUUUGACGUUCCGGGUUGRACUAAAUCCUUUGGGAUAAGGUAUCAUGGAGGGUGAGAAUCCCGUAUAUACCAACCGUAGGGAUGUUAUUUAAUACGUUUCUAAGAGUCGAGUUGUUUGGGAAUGCAGCUCUAAAUGGGUGGUAAAUUUCACCUAAUGCUAAAUAUAAGCGAGAGACCGAUAGCGAACAAGUACAGUGAUGGAAAGAUGAAAAGAACUUUGAAAAGAGAGUUAAAUAGUACGUGAAAUUGUUGAAAGGGAAACGAUUGAAGUCAGUCAUGCCAGUGGGAAUCAACUUAGAGGAAACUCUGAGUGCACUUCUUCGCUUGGCAGGUCAACGUCGAUUUUGGAUGUCAUAAAAUGAUUGGGGGAAGGUAGCUCCUUCGGGAGUGUUAUAGCCCUUGGUAGAUGUGAUGUCUGGGAUCGAGGAUUGCAAUGGAUACCCUUUGGGGCUAGCC
Molecule: ribosomal RNA, 496 nt
Filed under: Glomeromycotina sp.
Lineage: Eukaryota; Fungi; Glomeromycota
Description: eukaryotic LSU rRNA
Rfam family: Eukaryotic large subunit ribosomal RNA
Source: RNAcentral